AGAUUGAACGCUGGCGGCAGGCCUAACACAUGCAAGUCGAGCGGCAGCACGGGUACUUGUACCUGGUGGCGAGCGGCGGACGGGUGAGUAAUGCCUAGGAAUCUGCCUGGUAGUGGGGGAUAACGCUCGGAAACGGACGCUAAUACCGCAUACGUCCUACGGGAGAAAGCAGGGGACCUUCGGGCCUUGCGCUAUCAGAUGAGCCUAGGUCGGAUUAGCUAGUUGGUGAGGUAAUGGCUCACCAAGGCGACGAUCCGUAACUGGUCUGAGAGGAUGAUCAGUCACACUGGAACUGACGACACGGUCCAGACCUCCGUACGGGAGCAGCAGGUAGGGAAUAGUGGACAAGUGGGACAAGCUGACUCCAGCCAGUGCCGCGUGUAGUAGAA
RNAcentral lists this ribosomal RNA (389 nucleotides) under uncultured soil bacterium. RNAcentral describes it as "bacterial SSU rRNA". It matches the Rfam family "Bacterial small subunit ribosomal RNA", at positions 26 to 411 of the family's 1533-position model. The record is from RNAcentral.